GAAAUGCGAUACUUGGUGUGAAUUGCAGAAUUCAGUGAAUCAUCGAAUCUUUGAACGCACAUUGCGCCCCCUGGUAUUCCGGGGGGCAUGCCUGUCCGAGCGUCAUUACAACCCUCAAGCUCAGCUUGGUGUUGGGCCCCGCCGCCCCGGCGGGCCCUAAAGUCAGUGGCGGUGCCGUCCGGCUCCGAGCGUAGUAAUUCUUCUCGCUCUGGAGGUCCGGUCGUGUGCUUGCCAUCAACCCCCAAAUUUUUUCAGGUUGACCUCGGAUCAGGUAGGGAUACCCGCUGAACUUAA
RNAcentral lists this unclassified non-coding RNA (294 nucleotides) under uncultured Leotiomycetes. Its description in RNAcentral is "sequence contains ITS1". The stretch from base 1 to 105 matches the Rfam family "5.8S ribosomal RNA", at positions 50 to 154 of the family's 154-position model. The record is from RNAcentral. Lineage: Eukaryota; Fungi; Ascomycota; Leotiomycetes.